AGGUGGUUUCGGAAAAGGAGUUCAUUCUUCUUCUUGCUCUUCACUCUUUAGUCUAAAUAGAUGCUUCCUUCUCGUUGCAGCCGGAGAGUAAACUGUUUUUGGGUCAGUCAGGAAAUAGUAAGCGAGAAGUAUGAACAAAUGUGUAGAUCACCAUUUCCAACGAAGAAAGUCCCUUGUGAAGAACGCCUACAUAUUUCGCCGGUGGCGCUCCAGUGGCAGCUGAUUGGUUCAGGUACAAGGUUGUAAGCUGGUUGACGAGUGACUUCGACCGUUCCUAAACUAUUCCGCUGCCCGUUACCAACAGCUCCGGACACCCAAGUCCCGUCUUUAGAUUAGAAUUAGAUUUGUUCACAGCCAGGUCUGUAUGUUGCCCUGCCACACCAACUCGGCACGAAGAGUGAGAAGGGUACCGACAGUCCGUAGACGGUAGUACACGCUAGCCAGCUGGGCUAGGCAAAACUAAGCCACCGGUACCUACCGAGUACCGUGUGGCGCUUCCGUUCGCGAUUUCCGCCAAGAAUGGCACGGACGGUUCUGCCAGGCCAUGAAUUGGUUCUGCCGAGAACAACGACGGCGACAGCGAAACCAGCUCGAGAUGGGUUGCAAGCAACAGUCACCCUCUACUGCGGCAUAAGGAGCGGUGAGGUAGGCCCAGCAAUGGUGCCACCCUCCUUAACAAACUCCUAUCAUUGUUCCCGAGAUGGCACAGCCGCACCGCACCUUUCUUCUGCACGACGUUGCAAUGAAGAAGCCGAGAGUGUGUGUUUCCGUCGCCGUGUCGCCUCAAUCGUGUCAACUUGUCUAGUACUACUCAACGUCUUGACUUGGCUGCUUCAACCCAGCAUUCGCAUUGCCCUGGUGUCUUUGACCUGCUGCUCCGACGCGUGCUGGCAGUGUUGCAGUGUGUACGUGCCGUUGCUUUCUUCUCUGGCAGCAAGCAAAGUCAAAGCCCUGAGUGUGCGUCAUCGCCGCCGUUUGGACCGGAUCAAGACACUUCAAGCCCGUGUACUGAUUAGUUUGUUAAAGUUCCUGUUCCACUCGGGAAUGCUCCUGCCACUGGUGUUUGCAAUCCUAACGGGAAUACUAGUACCUACUAGAAUACAGACAGUAUUCUUCCAACAUGAUGAUCUGCAAUCGGCGUGGAAGUUCCAGCCGAUCGAUGGCCCGUACUCUGCCCAUGCGUGGCCCAAGCUGCCCGUGACCAUUAAUGCCUACGUGGCACCUCUGUGCUGCCUGCAUCGUCCAACGCUUCAUCUGCCGACGUAUGUGCACCCUCGUUUCACCGCCUGAACAGGUGCCAGACAUGGUCAGCGUAUCCAAUGGAAUUGAACAUGUAAACUGCUUCCGCUAGCAGUGGCGGGGAUAUAGAAUUAUGCUACUGCUCCCGACAUCUACAGGACCCUUAUACAUGUAUAUUAUAGGUAUGUUUGUGUGUGGGUGGGUGCGUGCGUGUAAUCUACCCGUGUAUGGGUUAGACUGAGUGUGUUCGAAAUAAUGGUCAUCUAUUACCAGUUAAUUGUCAAUCUCUCUGCAGAACAACUUUCCAUUGAAUGAUAUUCCUUUUUCAAGUAUGUAUAUGGCUUUUGGUGUUGACUUUUUGGUAUUUAGAUAUUGAUAUUUGCUGGCCUGCUGCAGAUGUUUAAAGACAUUUUCCGGGCCCAAAUGAAUUAUUUAUCGUCUUUCUGUCCUGGCAAUAUGGUGUGGCUUGCUUAAUUUAUCGUAUUUAUUUCCUUUUUCCCGUUUCCAUCCCCUUCAAAGUGAUCAAAUAUUUAUUGUAACAUGUACAUGUAUAAUAUAUACCGGUAUCUGGUUUCAGUUUUCCCACUCAGAUUCAGUGAGUUGUGGCAGCUCGA
This is a long non-coding RNA of Sycon ciliatum, 1853 nucleotides long. RefSeq lists it as uncharacterized. The record is from RefSeq and is a predicted model, not a curated record. Lineage: Eukaryota; Metazoa; Porifera; Calcarea; Leucosolenida; Sycettidae. The transcript is spliced from 2 exons.